CAGGUCGAGGGUUUGAUCAUGGCUCAGGAUGAACGCUAGCGGCGUGCCUAAUGCAUGCAAGUCGAACGGGAUCCUUUGGAUUCGUCUAAAGGUGAGAGUGGCGAACGGGUGAGUAACACGUUGGUGACCUACCCCAGAGAGGGGGAUAACCAUUGGAAACGAUGGCUAAUACCCCAGAUGUCGUGACCGUUAGAGACUCACGACUAAAGCUCCGGCGCUCUGGGAGGGGCCUGCGGCCCAUCAGCUAGUUCACAGUAUAUUACCAGUUGGCCUACCAAGGCGAAGACGGGUAGGGGGCGUGAGAGCGUGACCCCCCACACUGGUACUGACACACGGACCAGAUACCUACGGGUAGCAGCAGCAAGGAAUAUUGCCCAAUGGACGCAAGUACUGAGGCAGCAACGCCGCGUGGAGGAAGAAGGCCUUCGGGUUGUAAACUCCUUUUCUGGGGGAAGAGAAAGGACGGUACCCCAGGAAUAAGUCUCGGCUAACUACGUGCCAGCAGCCGCGGUAAAACGUAGGAGGCGAGCGUUAUCCGGAUUUACUGGGCGUAAAGCGCGUGCAGGCGGUUUCCAGUUAAGUCGGACGUGAAAGCUCCCGGCUCAACUGGGGAGAGGUCGUUCGAAACUAGGUUACUUGAGGGUGGUAGAGGAGAGUGGNAAUUCUCGGUGUAGUGGUGAAAUGUAGUAGAUAUCGGGAGGAACACCAGUGGCGAAGGCGGCUCUCUGGGCCCACCUGACGCUAAGACGCGAAAGCUAGGGAGAGCAUCGGGAUUAGAAACCCCGGUAUUCCUAGCCGUAAACGAUGUCAACUAGGUGUAGGGGGUAUCCAACCCCUCUGUGCUGCAGCUAACCAGUUAAGUUGACCGCCUGGGGACUACGGCCGCAAGGCUAAAACUCAAAGGAAUUGACGGGGACCCGCACAAGCAGCGGAGCAGUUAUGGUUUAAUUCGAGGCUACGCGAAGAACCUUACCAGGGUUUGACAUGACGGUGGUAGGGAGGCGAAAGCUGACCGACCCUUCGGGGAGCCGCCACAGGUGCUGCAUGGCUGUCGUCAGCUCGUGCCGUGAGGUCACAAGGUUAAGUCCUGUAACGAGCGCAACCUAUUCAUCGCUAGAUAGAACGUGUCUAGCGAGACUGCCGGUGAUAAGCCGGAGGAAGGUGGGGAUGACGUCAAGUCAGCAUGGCCUUUAUAUCCUGGGCUACACACACGCUACAAUGGCCGGUACAAUGGGUUGCCAAGCCGCGACAGUUGAGCCAAUCCCCCAAAGCCGGUCUCAGUUCGGAUUGUAGGCUGCAACUCGCCUGCAUGAAGUCGGAGUUGCUAGUAACCGCGUUUCAGCAACAGUGCGGUGAAUACGUUCCCGGGUCUUGUACACACCGCCCGUCACGUCAUGGAUAUCCAGAACGCCUGAAUUCCGGUGAGCUAACCCUAACAGGAGGCAACCGCCCAAGGCGGGGUCGGUAACUGC
This 1472-nucleotide ribosomal RNA is filed under the name uncultured bacterium. RNAcentral's name for it is "bacterial SSU rRNA". It matches the Rfam family "Bacterial small subunit ribosomal RNA". The record is from RNAcentral.